UAGAUCGGGAGACGAACUGGGAACGGCUACUUCGAGGACCUUUCUCAGGCGUCAACCAGUCAACUCAGAACUAGUAUGGACAAGGAAAAUUCAAUUGUUUAAUUAAAACAAAGCAUUGCAAUGGUCCCUGUGAAUGCUCACGCAAUGUGAUUUUUGCCUAGUGCUCUAAAUGUUAAAGUGAAGAAAUUCAACCAAGCGCGGGUAAACGACUGGAGUAACUAUGACUCUCUUAAGGUAGCCAAAUGCGUCAUCAUCUAAUUAGUGAUGCACAUAACUGGAUUAACAAGAUUCCCACUAUCCCUAUCUACUAUCUAGUGAAACCACAGCCAAGGGAACAAGCUUGG
RNAcentral lists this ribosomal RNA (344 nucleotides) under Olea europaea subsp. europaea. Its description in RNAcentral is "LSU_rRNA_archaea". It matches the Rfam family "Eukaryotic large subunit ribosomal RNA", at positions 2043 to 2388 of the family's 3401-position model. Lineage: Eukaryota; Viridiplantae; Streptophyta; Magnoliopsida; Lamiales; Oleaceae. The record is from RNAcentral.